This is a long non-coding RNA of Spinacia oleracea (spinach), 1974 nucleotides long. RefSeq lists it as uncharacterized. The transcript has 5 exons. Lineage: Eukaryota; Viridiplantae; Streptophyta; Magnoliopsida; Caryophyllales; Amaranthaceae. The record is from RefSeq and is a predicted model, not a curated record.
CGUUGAUUAGAUGUUAUUUACUCUGCAGCUCUAUUGUUGACUUGGUGAUGAGGGACUAUAUUAAAAUUGAUUGCAUUUACUAAAUAAGUAAUACACCGUCUGAUUUAAAGUAGCACAGCCUAAUUAGAAGUUUUCUUAAAUUUCUCAUAGCUUGUACGUUUCAGAGUGUAGGGUAUAAUAAUUAAGUAAUUGUUGGUCAGUUUUUAGAUUCCUAAACCUUUCAUUUAACUUUGAGAAUCAUUUGAGUAAUACAAUUGUUUGUGCAAAUUGCAUUUCAAUAUGAUUUAAAGCAAUGUAAAAACUAUCAUGGGUCCUAUGCCUGAUGUUUCGUAUCUGUCUUAAGUUGAAAACUAGAGGUAUACGAUUGAUACCUAGUGUUGGAUGCCUUUAAGGAAAGACUUAUGUUAAGAAGUGAAGCGAGCUCUAGACGAGGAGCUCUCAUUCCUCUUUAAUUUUGUUUUCCUAAAGAGGACUUAUCAAGUUGUACUGUGCUGAGUGCAAAACAAUAUUUUCCUAUUUCUAAUCUUUCCUGGUCUAAUAGUAUAUCAGCAGGAUUAGACAUUAGAAUAGCAUGUAUCUAAUGUCAAUGAAAAAUGAAAUCUAUGUGGACUCUUUAGUUUAAUCCUAUCUCCAUAGCUGCUUGAAUAUCUCUAGCAAGGACUUACUCCACCCACUUUGCAGCGAUUACAUCCUCAAUUCGAAAACAAAAGCAAAAUUAGUAUUUAGCUGUUCUUGUCGUUAAAGAUAAAUUUGAGGAUAUGGUAGUAUUCGGAGAUAGAUCAAUCUCAUACACAUAAAUAGUAAAAUUGUUAGAGUUUGUGUUUUUAGUGUUUUUUUUACAAAACGGUUUGUUGUUAGUUUUCAAUAUUAACAUGAUUAGUAUGCGUUUAUGUACAUUAUACAAACUACAUUAUGUAAAAGAACUGAAAAUUGGCAAAUGGGCUGUGUGUGAUUGAGUUAUUCCAUUUCCUAUCUGUGGUCUUACAUUUCACGCAUGUGAGAUUGAUCAAUCUUGGAUAUUAACAUAGACUUUCACUGGAAAUAAUAGUCAUAUAAACUAAUUGGGGUGUUUAGAAAAAUCUGUCAAUUUUUCUUAAGAUGGUUUUGGUUUAUGAAUGAUUUCCUGUAACACAUUACCCGUUCUGAUUCUGAGCAUGAAGCAAAGUGGUUGUGCGUCAAAGAGACCAGCUAUAGUUUUCCUGCACAGCACGCACAAGUGCAAAGAAUGGUUACGGCCUUUGCUUGAGGCAUACGCCUCACGCGGAUAUAUUGCUGUUGCUAUUGAUUCACGUUAUCAUGGUGAACGCACAUAUAGUCUAACUAUAUAAUUCCCCCCCUCCAGGUUGCAUUGCACAUUGAGUACCACCACAAUAUGUUGACAUCACACCAGAAAGGGAACCCAAAGGAAGUAAUUGUUGGAUGGUAUUCAACCGGAUUUGGUGUUACGAGAGGUUCUGCUUUGAUCCAUGAAUUCUACUCCAGAGAGGUUGCAAAUCCUUUCCAUGUACCAGUGGACACUACAUUCAGAAAUGGAGAGGCAACCAUAAAAGCCUUUGUCUCUGUUAAUUUAUCUCUUGGAGACCAGUCACUUGCUGCUCAAUUUCAGAAAAUUCCUGCAGAACUUCGAAUGUCAGAAGCAGAGAGGGUUGAAUGUUAGAUUGUUGCAUCUACAUGGGUCUUAUCAACUUGAUCAACUCAUCAUGUGUGAGGUCUAUACUCUGAGGAAUGCGCCUUAUGCUAGUGAGGAAAUUGAUGUGGUUCAUGAGCAAUGGGCUAGUUUUUUACCAGCAAAUAUUUAUUAUUGGCCUGAGCGCGCUUGAUCGAGUUGGUUUAGAAGUUAUAGAACAAUCUUUUAUAUUAAAAUUUAUGCGUACGUUGAAAUUGGAACAUAUAUUUUAAUGUACGUGCACUUUGGUUUCAUGUAUACAAAACAACAAUUAUUGUUUUUAUAUUUGUUAUACAGGUUGCGAUAUU